RNAcentral lists this long non-coding RNA (324 nucleotides) under Panax ginseng (ginseng). RNAcentral describes it as "long non-coding RNA (PGIN_LNC012374)". Lineage: Eukaryota; Viridiplantae; Streptophyta; Magnoliopsida; Apiales; Araliaceae. The record is from RNAcentral.
CAAGUUCUUGAACUCAUAAUGUAUGGUAAGUUUUAUGAACAAUGAUUAUAAUAUAUUGUCAAAAAGUUAGCAUUAGUUGCGGCGUCUAGAAAGUUUUAUCUAGAAAAUGUGUUAUUUGAUUGCGCAUCGUUUUAACGGAAAUCCCCCUUUUUUAUGAAAAAUGAUAUGAUUGUCAGUAUUGUGAGUUUAUAAUAUUUAUACUCGAUAGGAUUUAGUGUUGGACAAGUGAGCGCCAGAUCCGCUGUAGUAAGUACAUGAAUUUGGGGUGUCACAUAUUGGUAUUAAAGCAAAAGGUAGAGACCAUGUUGCAAUCCAGAAAUUAAG